This 4961-nucleotide unclassified non-coding RNA is filed under the name Limulus polyphemus (Atlantic horseshoe crab). RNAcentral's name for it is "integral membrane protein GPR155-like, transcript variant X2". Lineage: Eukaryota; Metazoa; Arthropoda; Merostomata; Xiphosura; Limulidae. The record is from RNAcentral.
AGUAACUAGAGGUACUACGCUUUGUGAUUAUGUAACGUUGUCAAUUUCACCCAGUUCUCUGGAGGAAAAAGAAGAAAAUUCUGAUCUUUUGUUUCGCAAAUCUUGUUAUAAUGUUCCACAUGAUAAUUAUAAUAAGCUGAGAUCCUGCUUGUUAUCACUGAACAUAUACAGUACCUUUAUUUCCUUAACUAGGAAGAUGUCCUGGAUUGCAAGCACAGAAGCAUAUUCAUCUGCAAAUCCAACUCCUGGUGAGAUUGCUUUUAAUGACAUCUUUCCAGUUCUCCUUCAGUGUUUUCUGACGGUGCUUUGUGGCUACCUAGCUGGAAGAUGUGGGUUGAUAUCAUCGACAGAAUCCAAAGGUCUUAACCUCUUUGUGUCAUAUUUUUCUCUUCCUGCUUUAAUUUUUAAUUCCUUGUCAUCUCUGAAGUUAGAAAAUGUUAACUGGAAGUUUAUUGGAGCAGUGUUUGUUUCUAAAGGAAUCAUCUUUCUUCUGGUUGCUGCAUUUACAAUACUUUUGACAAAACCAGCUAAUACUGGAAAGGCUGGUUUAUAUGGCAUUUUUUGUACACAAAGCAAUGACUUUGCAUUAGGCUUCCCUCUUGUUUUCUCUCUGUAUGCAAAAAACCAUCCAGACUAUGCCAGUUAUCUCUACCUGCUGGCUCCUAUUCAGUUUAUGGUUCUCAAUCCAGUGGGAUUUAUCUUAAUGGAGAUUCAGAAACAAAGAAGUCACAAUAUUAGCGUAGUAUCCCGAAAGACUAUCUUCUUUCAAGUUUGUAAAGGUGUAAUAUCUAAUCCUGUGGUUAUCAUGACUAUUUUAGGUGUACUUGGAAACUUUGCAUUCAACCAUCAGGUGCCAGAAGUUCUCCAGAAAUUUCUUCAUGUACUAGGAUCUGCAUUUUCUGCUACAGCAUUAUUUCUCUUAGGCUUGAACAUGGUAGGAAAGUUCCAGUUGCUGCAGGGAGCUGCAUUGUUACAACCAGCUGUGAUGAUCAUCAUGAAGAUUUUGGUUCUUCCCUUAAUCAUCAGAGAACUUGUAACAGUGUUUUCUUCUAAUGAUUCAUCAGUUGACAUAAAGGACCUUGCAAACUUUGGGUUUUUGUACGGUACUUUUCCCACAGCCCCAACUGUAUUUAUCUUUGCUGGUCAGUUUGGCUUAUCUACAGAAAUGGUGGCUUCUGGCAUGGUGGCGUGUACCUUGUUUUCUGCUCCUCUUGUGUUCGUGUCAGCUGUUUUAUCCCUUGUGUCUGUUUCCACUUCCAUGAAUUUCUACUCAGAACUGUUAAACACCAUGACAUAUGUGAGUGCCAUUAGUCUAGUUUGCUGUAUGUGGGUCAUUGCUGUAUUUUGUAUGAGUAAAAAAUGGAAAAACAUUACACAUGGGAUGACUUUAUGUCUUAUUAUAUCUCAGCUUCUCACAGCUGGUGGGGGUGUUCUUAGAAAAGUGAUAAAUCCACAUAAAACGUGGAUGUUCUACUUACAGUACUUUCUGGCUGCUGGAGGAACAUUUAGUGCCCGGGUCUGGACAGCUCUUCUUUCUCUUCUCUUGGCUUUGCUUCAAUUGAAGGGACUCUGUUUUGUACUUAAAAUACGCUAUCUGAUCAUUAUAAUUGGAUUUGGAAUCUCUCUGACAAUUUCUGGAUUUCUUGCAGUUGGCAUGAUGAAUUUCCCUUUUACUCAUAAUGUAACUGAUCCCAAUUUUCAUUUUGGGGAAAGUCAAGCUUCUGUUUCACUAGUAGUGUUGGCCAGUUGUUUAAUUGUUAUCUUGGCUAGUUUGACAGUUCAACGACGACAACAACUUCAGACUCUAGGAUAUCAGGCUCUCGUUCCUAAUGUUGAUGAUUCUGAAGCAGAACAAGGAGUACGCUCUCAAACAGUGAGAAAAGUAGAGUCUCCCUUCAGAAGUUCUUCUUUUAAUGAAGAAUCACAGCCCUCAUCUUCAAGAAGUGAUCGUGAUGCAUCAAUACAUCCACCAGACAUUGAAGAUUUGGGUCUCUCUGGUUCAGUGAAUGGUUCAUCUGUUGUGGCACGCCUUUGUGACACAGCUCAUGGGUGUAGCAGUAGUAGAAGAAAGGAGUGUGCUUCUCGUGUUCGACAGUAUGUAUCUGAAGAAAGAAGAAUCUUCCAAGAACAUGGGUUAGUGGAAAUAAGUGAUGCUGACACUGAUGAGAUUGUCCGACAUGUUGUGCUUAUUUUGUUGCUCACCCUGUCAAUGAUUGUUGGUCUUGCUUUAACAAUCUGGAUGGUUGUCAUGGAUGAUCUUACAGGAAUAUUUAUAGAGCUGGAGUUUCUUGAUGUCUUCUUGAAUUAUGGUCAAGGAUUCAUCUCGUUCAUCAUUUUUGGUCUGGAUUCUAAACUAGUUGUUAACCCUUGUCUUCGUAUCUGGCGUCGUAUUCGUUAUGGAACAGACAUACUAGUUCUUCCUGCUGAAGAAGAACUAUCGUUGGAUGUUCAUCAAACCUGUGAUCAGUUCCUGAGAUACCAUUAUGAUCAAUAUAAGAGGAAGCUGUAUGCAUCAGCUUCUCCACAACAAACAGAGGAAAAUGAUCAAGACUGUGUGUUCGCUGGAGAUGAACUUGUUGACUGGCUACUAGCAGUAGGCUUAGCUCAUGACAGAAAAGAAGGAGAGCACUAUGGCCGUAACCUUCUCUUGGGUAGAGUAAUUCAACAUGCUACUCAUACUCAUCACUUUCAUGAUGGUGCUUAUAUGUAUUAUCUGUCAGAAAAAAAUGACUAAAUUACUUUUGUAAUAAUGCUAUAUGAAUAUUCAAAACAUGUUUUGUUUUUAUUAAAUACUGAAAUCUAUAAAAAAAGCUUGAUUAGAAUGUGUACCUUCUCAGUUGUGAUCUUGAAGUUUAAUAACGUAAACUAUAAGUGCAUUUGUAUACUUAUUUUAAGAAUUUUGUUUUUUGUUUUUAUUAAUUAUAGUAUACUUUAAUAAUCUUACAUUGCUGGCCAGUUUGUAAUUCAUUUUGAAUUCAUUACUCAACUCUAAUAUUUUCUGAAAAAAAUAAAAAUAGUGUAUUCAGUUAGGUUUUAUUAUUUUAUAUGCAUUUUUUUAAGAAUCUUACGUUUUCAAUUUGAUUCCUAGUUUGAAACUUGUAGAAUAUAGAAAAGCUGUACUAUUUUUGUUUACCUUUUAACUUCAUUAAACAGAGUCUCUUGUUGCUGAUGGUUGGUUUAGAAAAUUUGUUUGUUGAUUUUAUUAUUAUUGUGUGCAGUAUACAUAAUGUAAAAUUAAAAGUUUAUUUCUAGGUGUGUGUUUUAUAUUGUUAAUACAAUUUCAUUUAUAUUUGUACUAAUGAAAGUAAUAAUUAGACAUAAUUUAAACUUGUAGGCAGGAGGCACAGUACACAUUUACUGGAUAAUAGAUGCAGUAUGACUUUACUAUACACUAGGCACAGUACACAUUUAGUGGAUAAUAGAUGCAGUAUUACUACUAUACACUAGGCACAGUACAUAUUUACUGGAUAAUAGAUGCAGUAUGACUUUACUAUACACUAGGCACAGUGCACAUUUACUGGAUAAUAGAUGCAGUAUGACUUUACUAUACACUAGGCACAGUACACAUUUAGUGGAUAAUAGAUGCAGUAUGACUUUACUAUACACUAGGCACAGUAUACACUUACUGGAUAAUAGAUGCAGUAUAACUUUACACUAGGCACAGUACACAUUUACUGGAUAAUAGAUGCAGUAUUACUGCUAUACACUAGGCACAGUACACAUUUACUGGAUAAUAGAUGCAGUAUGACUACUGUACACUAGGCACAGUACACAUUUACUGGAUAAUAGAUGCAGUAUUACUACUAUACACUAGGCACAGUACACAUUUACUGGAUAAUAGAUGCAGUAUGACUACUAUACACUAGGCACAGUACACAUUUACUGGAUAAUAGAUGCAGUAUUACUACUAUACAGUAUACAUUCACUAGCUACAAGGUACAGUAUACAUUCACUAGCUACUAGGUACAGUAUACAUUCAUUAGCUACAAGGUACAUGUGAAUCAGGUAUUCUUAUGCCUGUCCUGAGAUUUUUGAGAAACUACAAACUGUCAAGUGAAAUUUUUAUCCUCCUUUUCAAGUACAGACUUAUCUAUCAAUUAUUCAACCCAUUUGGUUUCCAUGGUUUUAUAAAUGUGCGACCAAGACAUAUUUAUUAUUUUGUGUUUACGGUUCUUUAAGAUUCUUAUUUUAUAGAAAAGUGUCAGAAACAUUAUGGUUUGACUUUUACUACAAUGGCUGCAUUUCUGUUUUUUUAUAUUUUUGUUUUUACUUUAUGGCACAGUUGCGUAAUUUUGGAUAACCACUGAAGAAUAACCUUUGAAUCAUAAAAAGUCUGUUCUCUGUGUACUUUCGCUGUACAUCCAAUUAAUGGUAAUCUUUAGAAAAUGCCUGUUUUUUGAUAUUAUAUGUAUUUAGAAAUUAUUAUUUUAGAUCUGCUUGUAUAAAGUCAGCAGUGGAAGAUUAAUGUUUCAGCAAACAAAACAACUGGAUGAAAUGUUGCUCAGGAUUUGUUUAUAAAUUUGUAAUUUUGUUGGAGAUAUUUAAUGCACACAAGUUAGAAUUUAGGAUCCACUAAUAUAUGAGAUUGAGAGUAAAAUUUAAAUGUUUGACAGUCAAUUUGAAAUGUGAUAAAAAUAUGUAUCCUAUAUUUUGUAAUGGUGAUUUAUUUAUCAGAGUGGAUGCACUAAUUUUUUUCAAUAUAAAGGUCUUGUAUGUUAAGUGAUUUUAUACUUUUAAUAAUUAUGAUUUCUUAAGGUUGUAUAAAUUUAAAGUUAAGAAUUGGUAUAAUAAUAAUGGUGAUAUUUCAGGGUAACUUUCUCUGAAUAUUAAAAGGUUUACAGUAGUGUAAAGAAGCAAGCUUCUAAUUAAACAUGCUUGUAGUUUAUGGAGUGGUAAAUAGCUACUUCUGACUAUUCUGUAAAACAAAAGUUCUUUUAAUUAAAACUAUUUUUUGCUUUAAA